GUGCUCACUUCAGCAGCACAUAUAUGAAAAUUGGAACAAUACAGAGAUUAGCCUGGCCCCUGCAUGAGGAUGACAUGCAAAUUCAUGAAGCAUUCCAUAUUUUU
Small nuclear RNA from Mirounga angustirostris (Northern elephant seal), 104 nucleotides. NCBI's taxonomy places the organism in Eukaryota, Metazoa, Chordata, Mammalia, Carnivora, Phocidae. The record is from RefSeq and is a predicted model, not a curated record.